Panicum virgatum (switchgrass) is the source of this 1226-nucleotide RNA transcript. It is a transcript of the gene named formin-3-like, with no coding region annotated. The transcript has 6 exons. The record is from RefSeq and is a predicted model, not a curated record. NCBI's taxonomy places the organism in Eukaryota, Viridiplantae, Streptophyta, Magnoliopsida, Poales, Poaceae.
AGAUGAACAGGUGCACGUACCUGUUCGUCGCCAGCGCACGCGCGCGGAGUAGCGUCCCCCCAGCGAGACGCCGAUCUCUUGGCGGCCGCGCCCUAGCCGCCACUCCUGGGGCGCUGCCACCUUCUCCGCCGGCCUCUCACUCCCCAACCCUCUCUCGCUCCCCAACCCUAGUGCCUCGCGCUGACCGCCCCCGCCGCUCCCUCCCAAUGUCCGAGUCCGACCGCCGUGCCGCCUUAGGAGGUCGCACCUGCGCCGUCUCGGGGGGAUGGAGGCAUCCCCGUCCCGCGGCUUCGCUGCGCCGCCACCGGACUAAACCCUAGCGGCGCUGUCUCCACUCCCACACCCGCCAUGGCCGGCCCGUCCGGCGUCUCCUCCUCGCGCGGCGGCAUCGGGGUCGACCGCUUCUACAGCCCGCCCCACGUGCGCCGCCAGCAGCAGGAGGAGCAGCUGCAGCGGCUCAAAGGCCAGCGCCCCUCGUCCCCCGCCACUGUGGUGCUCACGCCCAGGGCCGCCAGGCAGCAGCCGCCCCCGCCGUCGGUGGCUGGGGCCGCGGAGCCGGCCGCCCCGCCUCCAGAGGAGGCCGAGAGGCGGGCUGACGCGCCGGGAAUCUGUAGAGGUUCCUCAGCUCCACGAUGCCGUCCGUGCCCGUGCAGUACUUGCCCAAGUAGGAGCAUGGAACGUGCUUGCCCUGUAGUUCAUGAUGGAUUACAGUAUUUCACCAUUGCUUCGGCAAAGAAUUGAAGUUGAUGAAAUGGGGUGUGCACAUAGCCAUUCGGGACAAGAUAGGAUCAGAGCAGAUAUGGGACCUCAAGAGAUUUGGAGCAAACUUAAAAGGUUAAAGCUCCAGGUUAAUAUCGUGCUCAAGAUGUUUAGGCAAAAAUUGAUGUACCGGCACUACUAAUUCCUGUGCUUGAAGAAACAUUUUCCGAUUUCAGGUUCUAGAGGGCUCCUGGGCUUGCCACUACGUACUGCAGAUGCAUACUAUGCAUGGCAAAUGAUGAUCAAGCCCUGUCCACAUGCCAACAGGUUCCCCUUUUUACUGCUCUAAUCUGAUUGAGUUAAUAUUACUUGCCAUGGUCAGAGUUAAUGUUAAUUGCCGUGGUUUGGUCAAAGUAUCAAUUGUUAUGUAAUUCGAACUAGACAACUAUGUCAUCACUUCUGAACGUAGAAAUGCCAAUGAUCAAGGCCAUGUCAAUGGUUCAGUGUAUUGGUUGCUUCUUCUUGAA